Molecule: ribosomal RNA, 629 nt
Filed under: Salmonella enterica subsp. enterica serovar Typhimurium
Lineage: Bacteria; Pseudomonadati; Pseudomonadota; Gammaproteobacteria; Enterobacterales; Enterobacteriaceae
Description: partial 23S ribosomal RNA
Rfam family: Bacterial large subunit ribosomal RNA
Source: RNAcentral
AUCUAGCCAUGGGCAGGUUGAAGGUUGGGUAACACUAACUGGAGGACCGAACCGACUAAUGUUGAAAAAUUAGCGGAUGACCUGUGGCUGGGGGUGAAAGGCCAAUCAAACCGGGAGAUAGCUGGUUCUCCCCGAAAGCUAUUUAGGUAGCGCCUCGUGAAUUCAUCUCCGGGGGUAGAGCACUGUUUCGGCUAGGGGGCCAUCCCGGCUUACCAACCCGAUGCAAACUGCGAAUACCGGAGAAUGUUAUCACGGGAGACACACGGCGGGUGCUAACGUCCGUCGUGAAGAGGGAAACAACCCAGACCGCCAGCUAAGGUCCCAAAGUCAUGGUUAAGUGGGAAACGAUGUGGGAAGGCCCAGACAGCCAGGAUGUUGGCUUAGAAGCAGCCAUCAUUUAAAGAAAGCGUAAUAGCUCACUGGUCGAGUCGGCCUGCGCGGAAGAUGUAACGGGGCUAAACCAUGCACCGAAGCUGCGGCAGCGAACGUAUCACCCAAGACAACUUUACGGAGUUGACGAUUGACGGAGCGAAGCGACGUCAAAGCGUUCAUUAAAGUCGAGUUGGCUUAGGGAUACGUUCGUUGGGUAGGGGAGCGUUCUGUAAGCCUGUGAAGGUGUGUCGUGAGGC